AUCUGGUUCUGUUAUACACAGCACACCCAGUAAAGACUGGACUUUUAUUGUUUCUGAGUCCAGCAGUGGAAAAUACACAUGUCAGUGUAGAAGCAGAGAUGACUGGUAUUCUUCAACAGAGUGGAGUGAAUCAAUCAUCCUGUCAGUAUCUGGACCGUCAUCCAGCCCUUAUAAUCCUCUAUUUCCUGUGCUGCUGAUUGUGGGAUCAGUUAGUGGAAUCAUUGUAAUUAUCAUUUUGGCCUUGCUGUGGCGCUGUAGACACCCCAAUGAUCGAUGCUGCAUCAGGUUAUUCCAGUCAGGAAGCAGCAAUCAGAGCUCCAGCACCAUUUAUGAAAUGAAUCAGAUGGAAAAUCAUAUUUAAAUCUCUUUGCAACACGCGACCACUUCAGUCUAUGAGACGAUCCAAACCUGCAGAGCC
Molecule: long non-coding RNA, 418 nt
Organism: Cyprinodon tularosa
Lineage: Eukaryota; Metazoa; Chordata; Actinopteri; Cyprinodontiformes; Cyprinodontidae
Exons: 5
Source: RefSeq, a predicted model, not a curated record